RNAcentral lists this transfer RNA (534 nucleotides) under uncultured Alphaproteobacteria bacterium. RNAcentral's name for it is "partial 16S-23S ribosomal RNA intergenic spacer". The stretch from base 164 to 237 matches the Rfam family "tRNA". Lineage: Bacteria; Pseudomonadati; Pseudomonadota; Alphaproteobacteria. The record is from RNAcentral.
CCUCCUUUCAAGGACGUUCCGGUCGUUCGGCAACGGAAAAUCGGAACUCAACCUUCAAAACUCAAGGCUCCGAUGAUCGAGCCGCCGUCCACGUAUCCCUUCUGAUUUUGAAAGAUCCACUCAGGCUUGAAUUUGUACCCGGGUCGGCGGAUCACGCUCAGACGGGCCUGUAGCUCAGUUGGUUAGAGCGCACGCCUGAUAAGCGUGAGGUCGGUAGUUCAAAUCUACCCAGGCCCACCAUUAUCGGGCGCGGCAACGAAGAUGGGGCCGUAGCUCAGUUGGGAGAGCGGUAGCUUUGCAAGCUACAGGUCGUCGGUUCGAUCCCGAUCGGCUCCACCAUUUCGCAAUUGCAGUGCCGCCGGAUCCACAGUAUCGGGUGUCUUUCAGGGAAUGUGAUUUAGACGCCGGCGGUGCCGGUCGUCUGUGCUCUUUGAAAUUGUGAAUAGGUUUUUGGCUUUCAGCGGUUUUGCGUCCGGACCUUGCACGGGUACGGCCGUGACGAAGCUGUUGGAAGUUCCAAUGUCUCCGAUCGUU